AUCAUGAUCAUAUUGAUUUGGAAAAUCAAAUAAAAUUGACUUGAUCCCACCUUGCAUCCUAUAUGUAAUGGAAUACUACUCAGCCAUAAGAAGAUGGAAUCUUGUCAUUUGAGACAACAUGGAUGGACCUUGAAGAUACUAUGCUAAGUGUACUGAGUCUAAUUGGGAAAGACAAAUGCUAUAUGGUUUCACUUAUGUGUGGAAUAUGAACAAACAGAAUUAAUGACCAAAACAAACACAUAAAUAAGAAGAGAAUUGUGGUUAUCCAAUGGGAAAGAAGGCAGAGGGAAGGGCAGAAUGAGUAAAGGGAAUCAGCUGUAUGGUGACAAGUAGAAACUGAAGUUUUGGUGGUGAGCAUGCUGUGGUGUAUGCAUCUGGAAACUUAUAAAAUAUCAUAAGCCAGUGCUACCUCAAUUAAAAGAAGUAAAGUGUUGUCUUUGACAAAUACUGAUAUAAGACACUCCGUGAUUGCUAACUUGAGUCACCCUGGGUUUGAGAAUGCCUUCCUGGCUUGGCUUCUGGUACUCACCUGUGAGAUGUUCGAGUAUUGGAGUUGCAGAUCUUGUGGGAGAGACAUUUCUUUCCCUGUGAGUUACCACAUCCAGGCAAGCAUGCGGGUCAUGUCAAGGAUCCUAGGCAAGUUCUCAGUAUGUCUCUAAGAUACAUUUCAUUCCUUGUGUUUCUUUGUGUUGCCAUUCUAAAAUGCAAACAGGUUGAAGAUGGGAGCUGUCUUUAUUGGAAACUGAACAGUGCCUAACCCCUGUGGAUGUCCACUGAGUGUUGAAUAACAGCAGUGAUCAUGUAAUAAGGACACCGGCUCACUCAGGAGAGAAUACCAAAUAGCCUGGAAUUUUCCUGUUGCUGGCAGCAUGGCCCAGGAGCAUCCUGAGAUGUGAGAAAGCUGAAGCAGGAAGGAUUCCUAUGUAUUGGAAUGAUAGCCAUUGGAAUGGCAGCCCACGAAUGGUACCUUCGAGACACGCCCCUCUUCUAUUCCUGUAAAAAUGGGUAGGGAUAAGAUAACUCAGCAUUUGGGGAUUUUGAAGCUUUCUAAAGGCCUGAAGACAGAAGCACAGACUUUUUAAAGCAACAAGCAAUGGCAAGUCAAUAAACAUCCUGCCCCUCCUCUGCUCAUCCAGCCCAAUGAUGAUGAAAUGCACACCGACAGGAGCAAUGAGAAAAAUAAUAACAUCAUCACAGGAUCGAUGUCUAUUGCUGGCUUCAUAAAUAAAGGACUUGGCUUCCUA
Molecule: non-coding RNA, 1244 nt
Organism: Odocoileus virginianus texanus
Lineage: Eukaryota; Metazoa; Chordata; Mammalia; Artiodactyla; Cervidae
Source: RefSeq, a predicted model, not a curated record